RNAcentral lists this ribosomal RNA (434 nucleotides) under uncultured Lachnospiraceae bacterium. RNAcentral's name for it is "partial 16S ribosomal RNA". It matches the Rfam family "Bacterial small subunit ribosomal RNA", at positions 341 to 792 of the family's 1533-position model. The record is from RNAcentral. Lineage: Bacteria; Bacillati; Bacillota; Clostridia; Lachnospirales; Lachnospiraceae.
ACGGAAGGCAGCAGUGGGGAAUAUUGCACAAUGGGGGAAACCCUGAUGCAGCGACGCCGCGUGAGUGAAGAAGUAUUUCGGUAUGUAAAGCUCUAUCAGCAGGAAAGAAAAUGACGGUACCUGACUAAGAAGCCCCGGCUAACUACGUGCCAGCAGCCGCGGUAAUACGUAGGGGGCAAGCGUUAUCCGGAUUUACUGGGUGUAAAGGGAGCGUAGACGGCUUUGCAAGUCUGAAGUGAAAGCCCGGGGCUCAACCCCGGAACUGCUUUGGAAACUGUAGAGCUAGAGUGCAGGAGAGGUAAGUGGAAUUCCUAGUGUAGCGGUGAAAUGCGUAGAUAUUAGGAGGAACACCAGUGGCGAAGGCGGCUUACUGGACUGUAACUGACGUUGAGGCUCGAAGGCGUGGGGAGCAAUCAGGAUUAGAUACCCUGGUA